This 253-nucleotide ribosomal RNA is filed under the name uncultured bacterium. RNAcentral describes it as "partial 16S ribosomal RNA". It matches the Rfam family "Bacterial small subunit ribosomal RNA", at positions 524 to 776 of the family's 1533-position model. The record is from RNAcentral.
UACGUAGGGGGCUAGCGUUGUCCGGAUUUAUUGGGCGUAAGGAGCGUGUAGGCGGCCAGGUAGGUCUGGUGUGAAAACUCGAGGCUUAACCUCGAGAUGUCAUCGGAAACCAUCUGGCUAGAGUCCGGAAGAGGAGAGUGGAAUUCCUGGUGUAGCGGUGAAAUGCGCAGAUAUCAGGAAGAACACCAAUGGCGAAAGCAGCUCUCUGGGACGGUACUGACGCUGAGACGCGAAAGCGUGGGGAGCGAACAGG